This 96-nucleotide microRNA precursor is filed under the name Nicotiana attenuata. Its description in RNAcentral is "MIR6152 microRNA precursor family". It matches the Rfam family "MIR6152 microRNA precursor family". Lineage: Eukaryota; Viridiplantae; Streptophyta; Magnoliopsida; Solanales; Solanaceae. The record is from Rfam by way of RNAcentral.
UGGACAGAUUAUUGUAUUCGACUGUAUUCACGGCGUGAAACAGGGGAUUACACUAUUUUUAAACGAAAAGUGAAUCAAUUAACAUAAUAGACUCCU